CAUAAUUAACACACCAACCAACAAACGACUAAACUACAAGACAGACACAGAAAAUUGCGCUCACUUGUACAGACACCUCUUAAACAGCCAAACAACCUCAGUAACAAUCUCCACGUCAAAAAGCGCAGACGUGUAAAAUAAUUGCCCUGAAGACGGUUUGCCGAUGUGCAACCGAAAUAUAUCGGAAGAAAAUUAAAA
Long non-coding RNA from Drosophila novamexicana, 198 nucleotides. RefSeq lists it as uncharacterized. The record is from RefSeq and is a predicted model, not a curated record. The transcript has 2 exons. Lineage: Eukaryota; Metazoa; Arthropoda; Insecta; Diptera; Drosophilidae.